CCAGGAGCCACCAGUGCUCCAUGAUGAGGCUGAGGGACAAAUCCCCCCUGGCUUUGCAAUCAGGGAACAGGCUGGCUGGUAAGUGACUGGAAUGGUGACCUUCCCCUGCCCAACAAAACACAUCUUUGUCAAAGUGGAGCAGAUAAACAGUUUGGAAACAAAUUCUGCAGCUGCUGCUCUUUGCAAAAUGUGAUGUCUGCUGUCUCUCACAUCAGUCAUCGUCAGGACUGGGAUGAAGGGACUGAUGUAUCUAAACAGAAGGAUCAGAAGUUAACUGAAAUGGCAUGAUCUGAAUGAAAGGUCAGAGGCCAUCCAUGCCCUCCAGAGGAGCUCCUGUGCUUCCCUCUUGGAGAUGCAGGGUUACCAGCCAAGACAAGAAGUUUAGAAGUGCUGGCUGUAUCAGAAGGAAGUGGCAGAAGUGGAGUGAGGGAAAAAUGCAUGUCCACAGAUUACAGACAGAAAACCAGAAUAAUUUUGCCAUGUGA
Molecule: long non-coding RNA, 485 nt
Filed under: Taeniopygia guttata (zebra finch)
Lineage: Eukaryota; Metazoa; Chordata; Aves; Passeriformes; Estrildidae
Description: lncRNA (ENSTGUG00000022967.1)
Source: RNAcentral